GACGAACGCUGGCGGCGUGCUUAACACAUGCAAGUCGAACGGAAAGGCCCUGCUUUUGUGGGGUGCUCGAGUGGCGAACGGGUGCGUAACACGUGAGUAACCUGCCCUUGACUUUGGGAUAACUUCAGGAAACUGGGGCUAAUACCGGAUAGGAGCUCCUGCUGCAUGGUGGGGGUUGGAAAGUCUCGGCGGUUGGGGAUGGACUCGCGGCUUAUCAGCUUGUUGGUGGGGUAGUGGCUUACCAAGGCUUUGACGGGUAGCCGGCCUGAGAGGGUGACCGGCCACAUUGGGACUGAGGUACGGCCCAGACUCCUACGGGAGGCAGCAGUGGGGAAUAUUGCACAAUGGGCGGAAGCCUGAUGCAGCAACGCCGCGUGCGGGAUGACGGCCUUCGGGUUGUAAACCGCUUUCGCCUGCGACGAAGCGUGAGUGACGGUAAUGGGUAAAGAAGCACCGGCUAACUACGUG
This 468-nucleotide ribosomal RNA is filed under the name uncultured bacterium. RNAcentral's name for it is "partial 16S ribosomal RNA". It matches the Rfam family "Bacterial small subunit ribosomal RNA", at positions 28 to 507 of the family's 1533-position model. The record is from RNAcentral.